Molecule: long non-coding RNA, 1202 nt
Filed under: Oryctolagus cuniculus (rabbit)
Lineage: Eukaryota; Metazoa; Chordata; Mammalia; Lagomorpha; Leporidae
Description: lncRNA (ENSOCUG00000029863.1)
Source: RNAcentral
AUUCGUGGAUCUUUAUUGAUAUGCCUUGUGUAAUUGAUCCUAAACUAACUUCAAACCUGCUGCCAAUUUGACUGGUCUGAAUUUCGAUGCAUGAACACAAUUGGAAAAAUAAAUUUUGUUUCCACCCUCCCCCCUACCCCAGGAAAAGAAGAAGAAAAAUCUAGAGUUUGACUAAGCUGCUGGGUGUUGGGUUGCAAAAGUGAGGUUUUUUUUGUUUUCUUGAGCAGUAUUUGAAUUGAGAUGUGGAGGUGAGACCAGGUAAUCGCUUUCUUUUCUCCUUUUGUCAUGAAGCAGGGAUAGAACAAUGGGUGUUAUUUGAAAACUGCCCUUCUAACCUUUGCUGCUCUUAAAAUGCCUUCAGGUCAUCGCAAGGUUCUUAGCAGCGUUUUAAUUUUUUGAUUUAAUAUUUAACUUCUGAGAGAAUUGCUUAGAAACAUUUACCUUAUUGAUGCUGUGGGACAGAAGUGGUUAGAUAAUGGUGACUCUUGGUGACAAUAAGGGAUUUUACAGCAUAUUUGGGGAAGUGAUUAAAAAUGGGAUUGUCAUAGUUCACCUGGAAAACUUUUAAAAUUCUUUCAUCUUUAAAACAUCUAAUGUUGGAAGUAUAUUUUAGCGUUAAAGAUAGGAAUUUGUCUGGAGCUUUGAUUUGUGAAAUGCAUUCUGCUUUAUACAAACUUAUAGAACACUUUGGAUUAUUAUCAUCCAGUGUGAAUGUACAUCACAGUUGUUUCAUAAAUAUUUUAAGAUUCUCUUCUUAAUUGCCUGUGUCUACUAGAAAAGGAAUCAUAUUUAAGGCAUUCAAUUCAAGCCAUACCAUAACUUACUAAAACAUGGUCCUGGAUGCUUCUGUGUGUACCUGGAGAGUGCACAGUCACCGGUUCACAGUGCUGAUUUUUCUCAAUUUCUCAUCCUUGUCAGGUCUCAGCUUUGCUCGGCCAGGUUCUUCAGCUGAGUGUGGCAAAGAGAAAAGGAGCGGAGCUGGCCAUUCUCUGGCGCAUUCAGCAGGAUUCCAUAUUGUGUUAGAGGAAUUGGAGUUCCAGACCAUUCUGUAGGCCAAACGGGCAAGCGGUUUCCUCUGACCACUUGGGAAGAAGGCCUGCUGGUAGCGUGUGUGUGUUUUAUUCCUGUUCCCUCUCUGAUUUUGUAAGUGGUUUAUGUGGAUGAUAAAGAAUCUGUGAGAACAGACUUGCCCUUCCCUGCAG